Molecule: ribosomal RNA, 465 nt
Filed under: uncultured bacterium
Lineage: Bacteria
Description: partial 16S ribosomal RNA
Rfam family: Bacterial small subunit ribosomal RNA
Source: RNAcentral
CCUACGGGUGGCAGCAGUGGGGAAUAUUGCGCAAUGGGCGAAAGCCUGACGCAGCGACGCCGCGUGAGGGAUGAAGGUCUUCGGAUCGUAAACCUCUGUCAGCAGGGAAGAACGGUCACUGUGCUAAUCAGCAGUGAAUUGACGGUACCUGCAAAGGAGGCACCGGCUAACUCAGUGCCAGCAGCCGCGGUAAUACGGAGGGUGCGAGCGUUAAUCGGAAUUACUGGGCGUAAAGCGCUCGUAGGCGGUAUGUCAAGUCAAGGGUGAAAUCCCCGCGCUCAACGUGGGAACUGCCUUUGAAACUGGCAAACUGGAGUGUGUGAGAGGAUAGUGGAAUUCCAGGUGUAGGAGUGAAAUGCGUAGAUAUCUGGAGGAACAUCAGUGGCGAAGGCGACUAUCUGGCACAUAACUGACGCUGGGGAGCGAAAGCGUGGGUAGCAAACAGGAUUAGAUACCCCGGUAGUC